RNAcentral lists this ribosomal RNA (116 nucleotides) under bacterium. RNAcentral also lists the same sequence under 1 other name. The record is from RNAcentral.
UCCGGUGGCCAGGCGGCAGGAUUCCACCCGUUCCCAUCCCGAACACGGUCGUAAAGACUGCUUGCGCUGACAAUACUCGGAGGGUAGCCUCCCGGGAAGAUAAGUAGCUGCCGGAU